CCUACGGGAGGCAGCAGUGGGGAAUAUUGCGCAAUGGGCGAAAGCCUGACGCAGCGACGCCGCGUGAGGGAUGAAGGUCUUCGGAUCGUAAACCUCUGUCAGCAGGGAAGAACGGUCACUGUGCUAAUCAGCAGUGCAUUGACGGUACCUGCAAAGGAAGCACCGGCUAACUCCGUGCCAGCAGCCGCGGUAAUACGGAGGGUGCGAGCGUUAAUCGGAAUUACUGGGCGUAAAGCGCUCGUAGGCGGUAUGUCAAGUCAAGGGUGAAAUCCCCGCGCUCAACGGGGGAACUGCCUUUGAAACUGGCAAACUGGAGUGUGUGUGAGGAUAGUGGAAUUCGAGGUGUAGGAGUGAAAUCCGUAGAUAUCUGGAGGAACAUCAGUGGCGAAGGCGACUAUCUGGCACAUAACUGACGCUGAGGAGCGAAAGCGUGGGUAGCAAACAGGAUUAGAUACCCCUGUAGUC
Molecule: ribosomal RNA, 465 nt
Filed under: uncultured bacterium
Lineage: Bacteria
Description: partial 16S ribosomal RNA
Rfam family: Bacterial small subunit ribosomal RNA
Source: RNAcentral